Molecule: ribosomal RNA, 459 nt
Filed under: Triticum aestivum (bread wheat)
Lineage: Eukaryota; Viridiplantae; Streptophyta; Magnoliopsida; Poales; Poaceae
Description: partial small subunit ribosomal RNA
Source: RNAcentral
AUGAACGCCAGAGCGGUCGUGCCGGAGGAGACCGAGCUGGCCGCGCUGCUCCGCGUCAAUGCCGACACAGGGAGGGCCGAUGAGGUGUACAGGGUGCUGCACCGGACGCGCACGCUCGUCAGGCAGGUGUGUGAGGCGACCGCCCAGGUGGUCGAGGCCUGGUUCCGGUCCGACGCGGCGGCGGAGGCCGGUGUGGAGAAGUGGGACGCCAGGAAGGUCAGGGAAGGGGUGGUGAAAGGCGGCGGCGACUGGCAUGGCCAGGGCUGGCUUGGCAAGGGGCAAUGGGACGUCGGCCGGAGCGAGAUGGACAAGAAUGGCACAUGCCAGCGUUGCGGCGAGAAGCUUGUGUGCAUAGACAUCGAUCCGUCCGUGGCGGAGAGCUUUUCCAAGUCGCUCACCGAGCUCGCGUGCAAGCGGGAGGUCAGGGACGAUUUCGUGCGGUUUCAGGUGUUGCCAUGA